GGUGCAGGAAUCAUGCUUUCUGCACCGCCCGAGGAUGGGGCUGCGGCCGAUCAGGUAGUUGGUGAGGUAACGGCUCACCAAGCCUAUAACCGGUACGGGCCGUGAGAGCGGGAGCCCGGAGAUGGGCACUGAGACAAGGGCCCAGGCCCUACGGGGCGCAGCAGGCGCGAAAACUCCGCAAUGCGCGCAAGCGUGACGGGGCUACCCCGAGUGCCGCCCGCUGAGGGUGGCUUUUCCCCAGUGUAAACAGCUGGGGGAAUAAGGGGAGGGCAAGUCGGGUGUCAGCCGCCGCGGUAAUACCNNNNNNNNNNNNNNNNNNNNNNNNNNNNNNNNNNGUCGAACUGCGGGAGAUACUACCAAGCUAGGGGGCGGGAGAGGCCGGCGGUAUUCCCGGGGUAGGGGUGAAAUCCUAUAAUCCUAGAAGGACCACCAGUGGCGAAGGCGGUCGGCUAGAACGCGCCCGACGGUGAGGGACGAAAGCUGGGGGAGCGAACCGGAUUAGAUACCCGGGUAGUCCCAGCCGUAAACGAUGCAGGCUAGGUGUUAGCGUGACUACGGGUCACGCUAGUGCCGCAGGGAAACCGUUAAGCCCGCCGCCUGGGGAGUACGGUCGCAAGACUGAAACUUAAAGGAAUUGGCGGGGGAGCACCACAAGGGGUGAAGCUUGCGGUUCAAUUGGAGUCAACGCCGGGAAACUUACCGGGGCAGACAGCAGGAUGAAGGCCAGAUUGAAGGUCUUGCCAGACAAGCUGAGAGGAGGCGCAUGGCCGUCGCCAGUUCGUGCCGUGAGGUGUCCUGUUAAGUCAGGCAACGAUCGAGACCCACGCCUCUUGUUGCCAGCGGCACUCCAAAAGGAGGCCGGGCACACUAGAGGGACUGCCGCCGAUAAGGCGGAGGAAGGAGUGGGCCACGGCAGGUCAGUAUGCCCCGAAUUCCCCGGGCCACACGCGAGCUGCAAUGGCAGGGACAAUGGGAUCCGACCUCGAAAGGGGAAGGUAAUCCUUAAACCCUGCCUCAGUUGGGAUCGAGGGCUGUAACCCGUCCUCGUGAAUCAUGGAAUCCCUAGUAAUCGCGCGUCAUCAGCGCGCGGUGAAUACGUCCCCGCUCCUUGCACACACCGCCCGUCGCUCCAUCCGAGUGAAGUCUGGAUGAGGCAUAGUCCAAAGGGCUGUGUCGAAUCUAGAUUUCGCAAGGAGGGAGAAGUCGUAACAAGGUGGCCGUAGGGGAACCUGCGGCCGGAUCACCUCCU
RNAcentral lists this ribosomal RNA (1249 nucleotides) under Candidatus Bathyarchaeota archaeon. RNAcentral describes it as "partial 16S ribosomal RNA". It matches the Rfam family "Archaeal small subunit ribosomal RNA", at positions 179 to 1478 of the family's 1478-position model. Lineage: Archaea; Thermoproteati; Candidatus Bathyarchaeota. The record is from RNAcentral.